This 124-nucleotide non-coding RNA is filed under the name Pongo abelii (Sumatran orangutan). The record is from RNAcentral. Lineage: Eukaryota; Metazoa; Chordata; Mammalia; Primates; Hominidae.
AGAAGGCAAAGGGAGCAGACAGCUGGCAAGCUCUGUCCCAAUAUGCUUCCCUGAAAGAGGCGAGGAAAUUUCAGAAGAUGCAAUGCCUGAAUGGCUCACUUUGCAGGAAAACAGAAGAACCAAG